AUCGGUUUAGCUCAGUGGUAGAGCGGCUGCCUCCAAAACAGCGCGUCGGGAGUUCGAUUCUCUCAACCGGUGCCA
This 75-nucleotide transfer RNA is filed under the name Armatimonadota bacterium. Its description in RNAcentral is "tRNA-Trp". It matches the Rfam family "tRNA". Rfam says of the family: Transfer RNA (tRNA) molecules are approximately 80 nucleotides in length. Lineage: Bacteria; Bacillati; Armatimonadota. The record is from RNAcentral.